This is a non-coding RNA of Podarcis lilfordi (Lilford's wall lizard), 70 nucleotides long. The record is from the annotation of a GenBank genome assembly. Lineage: Eukaryota; Metazoa; Chordata; Lepidosauria; Squamata; Lacertidae.
GGUAAUAGCUUGGUGGCAUAGUAUCUGUUUUGAAUGCAGAAGGUCCAAGGUUCAAACUCUAGCAUCUCCA